Molecule: long non-coding RNA, 818 nt
Organism: Suricata suricatta (meerkat)
Lineage: Eukaryota; Metazoa; Chordata; Mammalia; Carnivora; Herpestidae
Exons: 4
Source: RefSeq, a predicted model, not a curated record
AGGGGGCAGGGAGCAGCCCAGGGGGCCAGGGUCCCUUUGAGGGCCUCUGGCCCUGCAUCCUCCUCUCUCCUUGACCCCACCUUUCAAGGGGGCUGCCGGGGCUGCCGGGAAGGAAGGCCACACCCUCUCCUGAGAGGUGGGGGCCAGAGACCCACGUUGGCAGUGGGGUUUGCCAGGGCCCUGCCGUGGGGUCCUGUCCCUUAGUCUCCAGUGAGAUUGGUGCAUUCUGGGAGUCUCACCAGGUGACAGCCUGGCCAGAGCACCUCCUCUCAGCCUGCCACCAAGGCUGCCUGGAUGCAGACGCGGCUGCGGCCCAGAGCCCAGCCCCACUGUCCCCACCCACACUGCCCCGUCCAGGAGCUCUCUCUGCUGCUGUCCGUGAGAGACAAGCUGUGAAUUCAGGGGCCGGUGGGGGCUCCCUCACCCCUGCCUGUAUCUUGGGCAAAAAAUCUGCCUCCGACGCCAGGCCCUGGGAUCCUGCACAGCAGGGAAGGGGCCGGGGUCUGACUGUCCCUGGUCUUCGUCACUGAGCCACCAAGCCAGCCCCAGUCCCCUCACCUAGAAGACUGUCACAGAGUCGAUGAGAGAAGCAGCCAGGCCCCAUGCCAGGCGCAGAGGUGUGGCCGGCACCUGCCGGAGCUCGGCCGCCCAGCGGAGGGUUGUGGGGACGGACGGCAGCUUGUUCGGGAGGCCGCGUAUCCGUCUUUGAACUCUGUGGUGGCUGCUUCCACGGUCCCGGGAGCUCUACCCGUUACGUGAGUGACCCCGUCCUAGCUCAUCAGCGAUUGAUUCUUCAUAUUAAACCCUCGCCAUUCGAA